This 125-nucleotide small RNA is filed under the name Marmota monax (woodchuck). Lineage: Eukaryota; Metazoa; Chordata; Mammalia; Rodentia; Sciuridae. The record is from RNAcentral.
GCUGGGUGUGGUGGCACAUGCCUGUAAUCCCAGCGGCUCAAGAGGCUGAGACAGGAGAAUCGUGAGUUCAAAGCCAGCCUCAGCAAAGGCAAGGCAUUAAGCAAUUCAGUGAGACCCUGUCUCUA